GACGACCGGCGCACGGCGUGAGUAACACGUAUCCAACCUACCCCUUAUACGGGGAUAGCCUUUCGAAAGAAAGAUUAAUACCCCAUAGUAUAGCGAUAAGGCAUCUUAUUGCUAUUAAAGAAUUUCGGUGUUUGAUGGGGAUGCGUUCCAUUAGAUUGUUGGUGAGGUAACGGCUCACCAAGUCUUCGAUGGAUAGGGGUUCUGAGAGGAAGGUCCCCCACAUUGGAACUGAGACACGGUCCAAACUCCUACGGGAGGCAGCAGUGAGGAAUAUUGGUCAAUGGACGAGAGUCUGAACCAGCCAAGUAGCGUGAAGGAUGAAGGCCCUAUGGGUCGUAAACUUCUUUUAUAGGGGAAUAAAGUGCGGAACGUGUUCCGUUUUGUAUGUACCCUACGAAUAAGGAUCGGCUAACUCCGUGCCAGCAGCCGCGGUAAUACGGAGGAUCCGAGCGUUAUCCGGAUUUAUUGGGUUUAAAGGGAGCGUAGGUGGACGUAUAAGUCAGUUGUGGAAGUUUGCGGCUCAACCGUAAAAUUGCAGUUGAUACUGUAUGUCUUGAGUGUACAAGAGGUGGGCGGAAUUCGUGGUGUAGCGGUGAAAUGCUUAGAUAUCACGAAGAACUCCGAUUG
This 627-nucleotide ribosomal RNA is filed under the name uncultured Bacteroides sp. RNAcentral describes it as "bacterial SSU rRNA". It matches the Rfam family "Bacterial small subunit ribosomal RNA", at positions 90 to 715 of the family's 1533-position model. Lineage: Bacteria; Pseudomonadati; Bacteroidota; Bacteroidia; Bacteroidales; Bacteroidaceae. The record is from RNAcentral.